GACGAACGCUGGCGGCAGGCUUAACACAUGCAAGUCGAGCGCCCCGCAAGGGGAGCGGCGGACGGGUGAGUAACGCGUGGGAAUCUGCCCUUUGGUGUGGGACAACCACGGGAAACUGUGGCUAAUACCGCAUGAGCCCGAGAGGGGAAAGCCGCAAGGCGCCGAGGGAUGAGCCCGCGUCGGAUUAGCUAGUUGGUAGGGUAACGGCCUACCAAGGCGAUGAUCCGUAGCUGGUCUGAGAGGAUGAUCAGCCACACUGGGACUGAGACACGGCCCAGACUCCUACGGGAGGCAGCAGUAAGGAAUAUUGGACAAUGGGGGCGAACCCUGAUCCAGCCAUGCCGCGUGAAGGAUGAAGGCCCUAUGGGUCGUAAACUUCUUUUACAGGGGACAAAUAUCUUGCUCGUGAGCAGGAUUGAUGGUACUCUGAGAAUAAGGGUCGGCUAACUUCGUGCCAGCAGCCGCAGU
RNAcentral lists this ribosomal RNA (468 nucleotides) under uncultured bacterium. RNAcentral describes it as "bacterial SSU rRNA". It matches the Rfam family "Bacterial small subunit ribosomal RNA", at positions 28 to 521 of the family's 1533-position model. The record is from RNAcentral.